RNAcentral lists this ribosomal RNA (492 nucleotides) under uncultured bacterium. RNAcentral's name for it is "partial 16S ribosomal RNA". It matches the Rfam family "Bacterial small subunit ribosomal RNA", at positions 29 to 507 of the family's 1533-position model. The record is from RNAcentral.
AGUGAACGCUGGCGGUAGGCCUAACACAUGCAAGUCGAACGGCAGCACAGUAAGAGCUUGCUCUUACGGGUGGCGAGUGGCGGACGGGUGAGGAAUACAUCGGAAUCUACUUUUUCGUGGGGGAUAACGUAGGGAAACUUACGCUAAUACCGCAUACGACCUACGGGUGAAAGCAGGGGAUCUUCGGACCUUGCGCGAUUGAAUGAGCCGAUGUCGGAUUAGCUAGUUGGCGGGGUAAAGGCCCACCAAGGCGACGAUCCGUAGCUGGUCUGAGAGGAUGAUCAGCCACACUGGAACUGAGACACGGUCCAGACUCCUACGGGAGGCAGCAGUGGGGAAUAUUGGACAAUGGGCGCAAGCCUGAUCCAGCCAUACCGCGUGGGUGAAGACGGCCUUCGGGUUGUAAAGCCCUUUUGUUGGGAAAGAAAAGCAGCAGGUUAAUACCCCGCUGUUCUGACGGUGCCCAAAGAAUAAGCACCGGCUAACUUCGUG